RNAcentral lists this transfer RNA (71 nucleotides) under Loxodonta africana (African savanna elephant). It matches the Rfam family "tRNA". From Rfam's summary of the family: Transfer RNA (tRNA) molecules are approximately 80 nucleotides in length. Lineage: Eukaryota; Metazoa; Chordata; Mammalia; Proboscidea; Elephantidae. The record is from Rfam by way of RNAcentral.
GCAGUGAUGGUUCCGUGGUAGGAUUCUCGUCUUCCAUACUGGACACCUGGGUUCCAUUCCUGGUCAAUGCG